Molecule: long non-coding RNA, 6344 nt
Organism: Ruditapes philippinarum (Manila clam)
Lineage: Eukaryota; Metazoa; Mollusca; Bivalvia; Venerida; Veneridae
Exons: 3
Source: RefSeq, a predicted model, not a curated record
UCUAUAAUUGACAUUAAAGUUAUUUCUGAUAGAUCUUUUGGAUAUCUUGUUAUAAUAUAAAUUAUGGCUGAACAUCAUCAUAGAAUUAUUAAGAAACAAUAUAAAUUUUAUAUGUUAAUUCUUUGUAAAAAUGUAAGAAGACUUGCAAGUUACUGACUUCAUCAUUACAUUUAUUUAUUAUUGAAAAAAUACAGAACGGCUAGGCUCAACAGUGCGUAUAGGGUAGACGUACCAAAAUAUAUUGUUACAGUCAUGACGGCUUUCCCAUUGCUGUCAACAAACUUAAACCUUGUUCAUAACUAUUUCAGAUCUUGGUGUAUUGUCCUCAUUCUUGGUCACAACAACCCUUCAAGUAGACCAGACUAAACUUGACCUUCAUGUUAACAUUCAAGAAGGUAAACCUACAUGUCAGAUUUGUGAAUGUGAAGGACAGGAUAUAGGGUCAAUGAGGAUGGAAUCAAGAGAGAUAAAGGCUAAAAUGUGAGACUGUCAAUCUGACUAACCUUAAAAUGAAUAAAUGGAAAAAUGUUUCUUUCAACAGCAUGGGCAUUUAAGGAAGAGGAAACAGGGGCGCUUGUAUGAUAGAACAGUAAUAGCAGGAGUGAUGAGGGAAGAUAGAUGUGUCUUAAUGUCGGAAACACUAGAGAAAUCGAAAUACCGGUAUUUGGGUUUUCAAAACUGAAAAGAAAUUGGAAUACCAGGGGACUGCCUGCCCUUUGCAAUAGUGGAUAAUAGGAUGAUGUCGAAAGCCUCAUGAAUAUAGUACAUUGACUUAAUCUAAUUAGAAAAAGAAAUGACAUUCAGGAGAAAACUAGUCACCAGUCUUUCACUAAAAAUGUGAGAUAACUUUCCAAUAUUUGAAAUAUCACAAUAUGUAUAGAACUAUAAUGAGCCACCAGUACUUCACCACUUAUCUAUUUUUGAAAUAUGUAUGAACAGAACUUUAUAAACUUCAAGGUGAGAGUUUAUCACAAAGAACAUGAGAUAACCUAUGAUUGAACAGAACCACAUUUGUAUAUAGAGAUGCCAGUUCAUCACCAAGAAGAUGAGCUAACUUAUCAAUGUUUGAAAUUUGUUUGUACAGAAAAAUAUCAAGCUCAAGUUUCUUUUAUUAAGAACAGACAUAUUGAUUAGAUAACUUACAAUAUUUACAAACAUUUAUACUACCACACCCAUUUAAAAUAUUUCAGCUUAGAGUGUAUUAUCCAAAAUACAUGUAAUGUACCUAUAGUAUAUUUAUUAAUAUACUUAUUGUAUAGUUUUGAUUUUACUAGAUUUUAAAAACAUUUAGAUUUUUACUAGAUCUUGAAAAUAUUUUUUCCAUGCUCUUUCAUUUAAUUUUGAAUAAUGAAUGAUUUAUUAUUCAAUCCAAUGAAUACCUAUAAUAAGUAUAGAAUUAAAAUUGAUAAUGUAUUCUAUCUUAAACUAAUCUAAAAGUACAAAAGUAAUGUUUAAACUUAAAGAGAAAAUGGCCCCACUGGCCUGGGGUUUGAUACCAUAACUCUCAGUUCAUUGCUGUUGGUAGCUUUUCUAGCCUAUAAAGAUACUCAAGUAUGUUAUACAUGUAUAUAAUAGGAUGUUUUUUUUAUCUUGAAGCAGCAUGCCUCCAGGUUAUUGUUAUUUUUUAUGAUAAUUUUGAAAAUGUAAUUUUAAGUAAAAUAUUGUGAAGUUAACAAAGAAAGUAAUGACUAUUGUACAUAUUGCUAAUGACACAAUCCAUAUAAUUUACCAAAAAGACGCCAAAAUAUGCAAAAAUAGCCUGGGGUUAGUCACACAGUAGAAAUAUGGUGAUCAUUUGAAUAUUGCAAAAUCAGUCAUUAAUGGCACAUAAUGUAAGGUUUUUAUUGCACUUUUUACUUUUCUUAAUACCUUUUUUAUCAAGUUUGAUUUGCUUUUGGCAUAUCUGGAGUCAUGUAGCUUUAAUUCUAAAUGUAAUUGUUUCAUAGAGAAAUUGUUGUUUGAUCACAAUUUUAGUUUUUUGUUACUGUUUGAAAAUGUAUCUUUAAGUUGAAAAAUAUGGAAUAGUUUGUUAAAUCUUUGUUAGGCUUGUCCAGUGGAUAGAAGAUUUAUUUGAAAAAUGUUAGGACUAAAACUGCAUAGAAAUUAUGAUGUUAAGCGAAAACAACCCUUAAAAUUGAAAGGGCAUAAAUUUGACUCUUUUUCAAAUCUCACAAAAAGUUUCAUUGAUAUUUAUUCAUUUAGAAAAAAUUAUAAUUGCCCAUAAAUGCACCGAAUAUGAUAUGAGAAUUUUCUAUGAAUGCCUACUUUUGAUUUCUACAAAGGUUUAUGUUAAUAGUAUGAUAACUUAUACAGUGUGACACCAUCAUUUUAAACUGCUUUGGAAAUAAAUAUUUGGUUCCUUUGCAUACAAUUUUUUUGACAUAACAAAAAUCUGUAAUUAAUGUAGCUCUGAUCAAACUUUUGGCAAAUUGUGUUACAUGCUUAUUGAUAAUUGUUAAUUCAUUCAUUAGUAUGAUAGUUACUAGUUGCAUAGUUUUAUUAGCUCACCUGAGCAUAUGCUCAGGGUGAGCUAUUAGGAUCACUCUUCGUCUGUCGUACGUUGUCCGUUCACACUUUUCAAACGACAUCUCCUCUGAAACCAUAAGGCAGAUCAUAAUGAAACUCCACAGGGAUGUUCCUUGUGUGAAGCCUUAACAAAGUUGUUCAAAGAAUUCCAUUCCAUGCAGAAUUCUGGUUUCCAUGGCAACCAAAAGAAAAAACUUUAAACAUCUUCUUCUAAAAAACCCAAAGAGCUAGAGCUUAGAUAUUUGUCAUGGAACAUCUUCUAGUGAGUGUCUACCAAGAUUGUUCAAAUAAAAGCCCUGGGGUCAAAAUUGGCCCCGCCCCAGGGGGUCAUUGAUUUUCCCUAUAUGCAUAAAGUAAAAACUUAAAAAAAUCUUCUUUUAAAGAACCCAAAGAGCUAGAGCUAAGAUAUUUAGCAUGAAACAUCUUCUAAUGAGUGUCUACCAAGAUUGUUCAAAUAAAAGCCCUGGGGUCAAAAUUGGCCCCGCCCCAGGGGGUCAUUGAUUUUCCCUAUAUGCAUAUAGUAAAAACUUAAAAUAUCUUCUUCUAAAAAACCAAAAGAGCUAGAGCUAAGAUAUUUGGCAUGAAACAUGUUCUAAUGGAUGUCUACCAAGUUUGUUCAAAUAAAAGCCCUAGGGUCAAAAUUGGCCCCGCCCCAGGGGGUCAUUGAUUUUCCUUAUAUGCAUAUAGUAAAAACUUUAAAAAAAUUCUUUUAAAGAACCCAAAGAGCUAGAGCUAAGAUAUUUAGCAUGAAACAUCAUCUAAUGAGUGUCUACCAAGUUUGUUCAAAUAAAAGCCCUUGGGUCAAAAUUGGCCCCUCCCCAGGGGGUCAUUGAUUUUCCCUAUAUGCAUAUAGUAAAAGCUUAAAAAAUCUUCUUUUAAAGAACCCAAAGAGCUAGAACUAAGAUAUUUAGCAUGAAACAUGUUCUAAUGGGUGUCUACCAAGUUUGUUCAAAUAAAAGCCCUAGGGUCAAAAUUGGCCCCGCCCCGGGGGUCAUUGAUUUUCCUUAUAUGUGUAUAGCAAAAACUUAAAAAUUCUUCUUUGAAAAAACCCAUAUAGCUAGAGUUUAGAUAUUAGCAUGAAACAUCUUCUAGUAAGUGUCUACAAAGUUUGUUCAAAUAAAAUCCCUGGGGUCAAAAUUGGCCCUGCUCCAGGGGGUCAUUGAUUUUCCUUAUAUGUGUAUAGCAAAAACUUAAAAAUCUUCUUUGAAAAAACCCAAAUAGCUAGAGUUUAGAUAUUAAGCAUGAAACAUCUUCUAGUGAUUGUCUACAAAGUUUGUUCAAAUAAAAGCCCUGGGGUCAAAAUUGGCCCCGCCGGGGGCCAUUGAUUUUCCUUAUAUGUGUAUAGCAAAAACUUAAAAAUCUUCUUUGAAAAAAACCCAAAUAGCUAGAGUUUAGAUAUUAAGCAUGAAACAUCUUCUAGUGAGUGUCUACAAAGUUUGUUCAAAUAAAAGCCCUGGGGUCAAAAUUGGCCCCGCCCCAGGGGGUCUUUGAUUUUCCCUAUAUGCAUAUAGUAAAAACUUAAAAAAUCUUCUUUUAAAGAACCCAAAGAGCUAGAGCUAAGAUAUUUAGCAUGAAACAUGUUCUAAUGGGUGUCUACCAAGUUUGUUCAAAUAAAAGCCCUGGGGUCAAAAUUGGCCCCGCCCUGGGGGUCAUUGAUUUUCCUUAUUUGUGUAUAGCAAAAACUUAAAAAUCUUCUUUGAAAAAACCCAAAUAGCUAGAGUUUAGAUAUUAAGCAUGAAACAUCUUCUAGUGAAUGUCUACAAAGCUUGUUCAAAUAAAAGCCCUGGGGUCAAAAUUGGCCCGGCCCCGGGUGUCAUUGAUUUUCCUUAUAUGUGUAUAGUACAAACUUAAAAAAUCGUCUUUUAAAAAACCCAAUGAGCUAGAGCUUAGAUGUUUAGCAUGAAACAUCUUCUUAUUGGUGUCUACCAAGUUUGGUCAAAUAAAAGCCCCUGGAUUAAAAUUGGCCCUAACGGGAGGGGGGGGGGGGGCAGUAGAUCAUUGUUUUUCAUUAUAUGUGUGUAGUAAAAACUUAACAUUGUGAAACAUCUUCUAAUGGGUGUCUUCCAAGUUUGUUCAAAUAAAAGCCCUGGGGUUUAAACUGGCCCCGCUCCGGGUGCCUUUAUACAGGUGAGCGACCUCAGGGCCAUCAUGGCCCUCUUGUUAUAACACUUCUGCCUGUUUUAUUGAAAACAAAUUUUGUUGAAAAAGGUGAAACAUAUAGGCAGCUGAUAUGAAUUAGGGCAUGUGUUUAGCUAAAAACAGAAUUUCGAGCUAUUACUACAGUCAAGUUGCUGUUCCUGCACAUGUUGCUUACCAGAAACUUUAAACUUAGCCAUUAUUUUUUAACGGAUUGUCUUCAUUCUUGGACACAACAAUUCUUUGGACAAGACCAUUAAGAAGACCAGACUGAAGUUGACAUUGAUUCAUGAAUUACAUGUAUAUUGACCUUCAAGUUCAAAUGUAUAAACUUUGAUUUUGAAUUUUUAUUUUCUUCAAACUUGUAGGCUAAGACAUAAAAGAAAAUCAAACUCAAUAUCUCAUUGACUCUUAAAUGUUUAAAAUUUUUUUUUUUUGCUUUGAUUUUUACAAUGCAUCGGCACAGUGAAGGUCAUAAUAUGGUUACUGUCCAGCAUGACUGGUAGAGUCAACAACCUUGACCACUCUGUCACAGACACUUUUAGCAAGUUUAACUUUGCUGCACAAAAUGGCUCUCAGAGCUAUAAAUAUAAAAAUCUUGUCUGGCUUUCACAGAUAGAACUGUGGGUUAGAUUUCAAUGAAACUUCACAGGAGUGAACAGUUCCAUCCCUAGUUGUGCACAUUGCCGGCAUGUUCCGCUUCACUGCACAAAAUGGCCCCUAGGGUUAAAAAUAGAAAUAUCUUAUCACAUGUCAAAUUGCCUGCUGGAUUUCUGCCAAAUUCAAAGGAGUGAUCCGAACCAUACACAGUUUUAGAAGACAUAUGUUUUUGUGACAAAAACCCUUCAAGUCCAUAUAUUAUAUGGCCUUUACCUUUAUUUGAUAAAAAAUCUUUGAAAUUAGCUAGAAUUGUCAUUACUUUGUUAUUUUUUUACAGAUUUGAUUCAUGCUUGGACAAACAAACACAAAACCAACAUGUUGAAUUAUUCUGAUAAAACUUUGACCUUUAACUGACUAUUACCUCCAAGGUUAAACAAUUUAUUUUGCUCACAUUGUCAUAACUGCUUUUUGUCUAUGAUUUGAUUCAUUCUUUGACAAAAGAACAUUUAUUAUUCAACUAUGACAUUUACUUAAAUGUGUUGACAGUCAAAUUCAAAUUUGAAAUUUACUUUAUACAUUUAUAUUAUGUUUUCUAGGAGUACUCGUAUAGGUACUACAAUAUUCUCAAACUGAUGUGUUUGACUUUCUAUAUAAGAAAAAGCAGAGCAUGGCCCAAGCUAGGUAGUGGCUCUUGUUUUCAAUGCCAACUACAUUAUACGUAUCCAUUCCAAUUUACAUUCUCACAUGUAUUAUUUAUUGCGCUUGAAAGGUUUCUACAAAAAAUAAGUUUGUUCUUACAGUUCUGGUUUUAUUUUAGAAAUAUUUCAUAGACAGUUAAAUUUUCUGUUUAUUUUCUAUUUGCAUAAUCAUUUCUUGAAAUAAAUAUAGUAAGUGCACUGAUUUAUGUGUUAUACACUCACAUAUGGAAGUCCUUCAAAUGAAAAUUGGUUGAAAGAAAAAUUUAGAUAAACUUGAACAACUAUAGUUUCCCAACAAAUUCCAAUGUCAUAUUUUGAAAUGUUUAUUCAUUAUAUAAUAUGAUAUCAAUUAUGCAUUUAGCCACGGCUUGUAAGUAUGCUGUU